AAUCAACGCUGGCGGCGUGCCUCAGACAUGCAAGUCGAACGAUUAAACUUUCCUUCGGGAAAGAUAUAAAGUGGCGCACGGGUGAGUAACACGUAAGUAAUCUACCUUCGAGUGGGGAAUAACAUCGGGAAACCGAUGCUAAUACCGCAUAAUGCAGCGGCAUCGCAAGAUGACAGUUGUUAAAGGAUUUAUUCGCUUGAAGAGGAGCUUGCGGCAGAUUAGCUUGUUGGUAAGGUAACGGCUUACCAAGGCUACGAUCUGUAACCGGUCUAAGAGGACGGUCGGUCACACUGACACUGAAUAACGGGUCAGACUCCUACGGGAGGCAGCAGUC
Molecule: ribosomal RNA, 334 nt
Filed under: uncultured bacterium
Lineage: Bacteria
Description: bacterial SSU rRNA
Rfam family: Bacterial small subunit ribosomal RNA
Source: RNAcentral